GUAAUCAACCCGCGAUCCGAACAGAUUUGUAAAAAAAAAACAUGGCCAGAAACUGACCACGAACUCCUCUCCCUCUCUCCCUCUCGCCCACGAAUUCCUCGGCACCAACACCACCCGCGUCGCCGGCUUCCGGCGAGCUCCGACGCCGCGCAGCACGCCCCCAAGCCCCCCACGAUCCGCGCCUCCCUCCCCUCCUUCCAGAUUCUCCGUUCCCGGCCUCUAACGUCCGCUCGCAACCAAACCCCCAUGGCUAGGGUUUCGGGCUGGGCUUCGCCGGCGCGUCUCCGGCGGCCCCAGAUGCAGGUGGAGCACGCCAUGGGAGUUCCCCAUCCACCACGGUCUCCGCCGUCAAGUGCUUCUUCACGGAGAUGUGAAGGACGCCAAGGACCUGCAGCUACUCAAGGUUUUAUCUUGUCCCCAUCCUAUCCCCUCCCCUUGCCGCCCCUUCUUCAUUGGAUGACCAGAUGCACAACCACAUAUGUUUUUUGAUUCAGGCUCAUAGGGUCUAGAUUUGAAUGUAAAACUACCUGACUUUACCAUUAACAGAUUGGAAGCACGAUUAUCGCUGCAAUUUUUUUAGUCAUGGCAUAUUUUCUCUUAUAUGUGUUUGUUGAUGAUUAAUCAUCAAAGGUUAUACGCGUGUUUCGUCCCAAGCACAAGUCCUUCUUUCACAUAUCCCUUUUGUCAUAUGUCUUCUUGAUGCAAAGAGGCUCAGCUUGCUACUAAUGGAUUGCAGCUUACCAAAUUUGAUUUGUUUUGGUACAAUGGAUGUUUGGUAUUGAUGUUGAAAGAAUACUUCACUUUCUGUAAUUUCUGAUGUUCAGAUUAUACCGAAUGAAUGCUACCAGAUUCCAUAUUUGUUCUAGAGAUAUUAUUGAUCUUUUCAUGCACCAAUUGUUCAAGUAGUGUCUUUCUGCUAAAAGCUUUAUAUUGCCCUGUGUGUCCUUUUGUCCGUACCUUUUUCCAGUAAUUUUCUCUGUUAACCUUGGGCCAGCUCAUUUGUGUGUGCUUCAUGUAUAUGCUCAUGCUUUUGAUGCUGCUGGACUUUGGAAUGCAUCCGCACAGUAACUUUCUGGGUAUGCUUGCAUUCAGGUUGUCAUUAGUUAUGAGAUGGUACAUCAGUGUCUCCACUCUAGAGAUGAAUAUAAUACGCCAAAACACAGAAAUUAUUCCGUUCAAAGUGAAUGACACGGCGUAAAUCAAACAUGCGCUGAGCCUACUAAUGCGACUACCAGUACUGUUGCACUACUAGAACCCAAUGGCAUGAUGGUGCAGCAAAUAUGGUUUUUUAUUAGAUAGUUUUCUGCACUGUAUAUGUGAUGAAUUCACAAAUUUAUGAUUUUGAGGUACUGGUGAAGGUAGAUUCAAAUGAGUGAUGCAAAUUCAGAAUUGCGUAGGUAGUGCCUACGACUGACUAAGGGUACAUGAGUUGGAAGAAAGUCCAAGCAGAAGGAACUCCUGCAGAUGCCCAGGCUGCUACUGUGCCUAUCUUAAGGUAUUGCUUCAGCGGUGGUAUUAGUUGUUAUUCUUUCCUGAUACAGACAUGACUCUUUGAGCUCCACCAAGGCAUAUAUAACAAGAAGAGAAGCUUGGUUCAUUUUUUUAUCAGGCAGGGGAAAUGAAAGGACGAUGCGCCGUACAUUCUAGAUUAUUUAUCAGUGUUAAUCCGUAUUAACUAAUUUUAUAGCCAUUGUAAUUAGCAAUAGAGAAAUGUUUGCUGAUAUUUUUUACCUGCGAGACCAUAGUACUUUCUUGUUUUCUUUCUGUAAUAAGUGCGAGAUACGAGCAAUAAUAAUAUAUUGGAGUUUAUUCAUGGAUGAAGCGGUUCAUCUCAAGAUAUAUAACAUUCAUGUUUCCCUUCCUAAUGUUUCUUUGGUGAAGUCAUAACCUAUUUAUGUUUCAAUGGAAUUCUGUUCAAUUUGCAAUUGUUUCCUACUAUGCAGGGUGAUCUUGACCUGAUUUUGCUUUCGAACUGAAUUGUGGUAAUCAAGCAGGGAGACGAGACGCUGUUGAGCUGUUUUUCGGUAGAUUUGAGCUACCUAGAGUUGAGCUAGGCACCAGACGAGCAGAAGCACAAACGUAGGAGGUAUCCAACAAUGGCAACCGCAACGCCAUUCCACUUAAACCUGGAGACCAGAGAAAGGAUGCGGUACCACUGCUCUUCUUUCUCCUUACUAAAUCUCUGAAAAGGGAUGCUCAUAUAAUUACUAAUAAUUUAGUUGCAAGUCUUCUGUAAGAGCCUUGAUGUACUUUAUCUCAUGGUUUGGGUUGUGAAAGAAUUUUGGAAGGACCACAAGGUAGUCUUCAGUUCAGUUUGUCCAUUUAUAGUGUUGAUGUAUCUAGCUACUUGUAUCUGCUUUCUUUUGUUGUAAAAUGAAAUAGCAUUCUUGCUGAUCAAUGAAAUUAGAAAAUCAACAGACUACAUUGUUCCUUUUUUUCUUUUCUUUUUCUAUCCUUGAAGAUAUUUAAUGAUGUGAUCUGAAACUUUUAGUUUUGUUCUAUUAUGCAAAGUUAAGAGUUUUCGGGAUAAAAUUCUAAUUUGGGCCACUCUCUUUUUUACAAGAGUUCUAGGAAAAUUUACAUUGAAAUUUGUCACAUGCAAACUGGAGGAAGGGGCAAUAAGCAGAGAAUUCCCCUCAAGAUGUGAACUGCAUUGAUGCCCUCGGUAUGUGUGUUGCUACUGCUGAAUGAUGCUCCCUUGUCGUUGUUGCUAUAGUACGAUUUAGUACAGCUUGUCUAAAUGGGUUAGAAGAGGGGUUAUGAAAUGUUUUGUUGGAGUUUAAAUAUUCUUUCAUGUAUUAAACUGAUAAGUUGUGCACUUUUGCUGCUGUUAGAUAAACUGACUACUCUGUACUGUUGGAUAGCCAUGGUAUGUGUUAGUUUUAUUUUACCACAAAAGUUUCUUGGGAGUUGGGAUAUCAGGUGUAUUCAUUACUUUUCCUAUGAAUAUAUUCUAUUUUGGUGCACUGUAUAUCUAUCUAAUCUAUCUAUCCAAGUUUUCAAAGAAAUUGAUGGCGGCGGCUCGGCCGUGUCGUGGUGAAUGGCGAAGCUUCGAAACUGAACAUGAGAAAGGUGUUGACGCGCGGCUGGGAGACGUACAUACUUGAGGAAAUAUGAUUCAUAAGGUUUCAUAUUAACGAAAACUGAUAAUCUGAACAUUUUGUUUAUUCCUGGAUGACUUUAUUCUCCAAUAUGAAUAUGUAAGAAAAGAUAUGACAUACAUUUGUGUAAAUUGAUAAUGUAGGGUCAUCUCGAAACUUUAUUAUUUUUUCAAGAUUGAUUUACUUGGUGGUGUUAACUUCCAUUUUCUCGAAACAGGACAUGUGUUCUAUUUCUGAAAAAAGAAGCUUCUCUGUUAGCUAGCAUCCCCGACGGUACUUUUAGACUGGAUGUAGACCAGUAGGGUCAAUUAAAAAUUGUUGGCUAUAGAUGACUUUAAGUUUCUAGCUUUCAUAAAAUGUAGACGUGUACGUACUCUAACAGUAUGUCGUGGUUGAUGAUGGUCCUAUGUACUGGUUGAAAUUAUCAUGUUGGAUAAUAUUGCUUAUAUGUUGUGGUUGAUUGUGGUCCUAUGUACUGGUUGAAAUUAUCAUGUUGGAUAAUAUUGCUUUUA
Triticum aestivum (bread wheat) is the source of this 3613-nucleotide long non-coding RNA. RefSeq lists it as uncharacterized. The transcript is spliced from 4 exons. NCBI's taxonomy places the organism in Eukaryota, Viridiplantae, Streptophyta, Magnoliopsida, Poales, Poaceae. The record is from RefSeq and is a predicted model, not a curated record.